Molecule: non-coding RNA, 112 nt
Organism: Acanthosepion pharaonis
Lineage: Eukaryota; Metazoa; Mollusca; Cephalopoda; Sepiida; Sepiidae
Source: the annotation of a GenBank genome assembly
ACAGCCACAUCACAUUGAAACACUUGUUCUGGUACGAUCACUGAAGUUAAGCAAUGUCAGGCCAUGUCAGUAGCUAGAUGGGCAACCACUUGGGAAUACCAGGUGCUGUAAG